This 89-nucleotide transfer RNA is filed under the name Planctomycetota bacterium. RNAcentral's name for it is "tRNA-Leu". It matches the Rfam family "tRNA". From Rfam's summary of the family: Transfer RNA (tRNA) molecules are approximately 80 nucleotides in length. Lineage: Bacteria; Pseudomonadati; Planctomycetota. The record is from RNAcentral.
GCGGGGAUGGCGAAAUCGGCAGACGCAGCGGACUUAAAAUCCGCUGGGAGGAAACUCCCGUCCGGGUUCGAGUCCCGGUCCCCGCACCA